Non-coding RNA from Podarcis lilfordi (Lilford's wall lizard), 101 nucleotides. The record is from the annotation of a GenBank genome assembly. Lineage: Eukaryota; Metazoa; Chordata; Lepidosauria; Squamata; Lacertidae.
AACUAAUAGAAGCCUCUCUCUCUCUCUCUCUCUCUCUCUCUCUCUGUGUGUGUGUGUGUGAGAGAGAGAGAGAGAGAGAGAGAGAGAGAGAAUUCUGAAGG